Molecule: ribosomal RNA, 554 nt
Filed under: uncultured bacterium
Lineage: Bacteria
Description: partial 16S ribosomal RNA
Rfam family: Bacterial small subunit ribosomal RNA
Source: RNAcentral
UAGGGAAUCUUCCACAAUGGACGCAAGUCUGAUGGAGCAACGCCGCGUGAGUGAAGAAGGUCUUCGGAUCGUAAAGCUCUGUUGUUGGUGAAGAAGGAUAGAGGCAGUAACUGGUCUUUAUUUGACGGUAAUCAACCAGAAAGUCACGGCUAACUACGUGCCAGCAGCCGCGGUAAUACGUAGGUGGCAAGCGUUGUCCGGAUUUAUUGGGCGUAAAGCGAGCGCAGGCGGAAUGAUAAGUCUGAUGUGAAAGCCCACGGCUCAACCGUGGAACUGCAUCGGAAACUGUCAUUCUUGAGUGCAGAAGAGGAGAGUGGAACUCCAUGUGUAGCGGUGGAAUGCGUAGAUAUAUGGAAGAACACCAGUGGCGAAGGCGGCUCUCUGGUCUGCAACUGACGCUGAGGCUCGAAAGCAUGGGUAGCGAACAGGAUUAGAUACCCUGGUAGUCCAUGCCGUAAACGAUGGGCGCUAGGUGUUGGGGACUUUCCGGUUCUCAGUGCCGCAGCAAACGCAUUAAGCGCUCCGCCUGGGGAGUACGACCGCAAGGUUGAAAC